AUAGAUACCCAGGUAGUCCACGCCGUAAACGAUGAGUGCUAGGUGUUGGGGGGUUCCACCCUCAGUGCUGACGUUAACACAUUAAGCACUCCGCCUGGGGAGUACGACCGCAAGGUUGAAACUUAAAGGAAUUGACGGGGGCCCGCACAAGCAGUGGAGCAUGUGGUUUAAUUCGAAGCAACGCGAAGAACCUUACCAGGUCUUGACAUCCUUCGCCACUUCCAGAGAUGGAAGGUUCCCCUUCGGGGGACGAAGUGACAGGUGGUGCAUGGUUGUCGUCAGCUCGUGUCGUGAGAUGUUGGGUUAAGUCCCGCAACGAGCGCAACCCUUGAUCUUAGUUGCCAGCAUUCAGUUGGGCACUCUAAGGUGACUGCCGGUGACAAACCGGAGGAAGGUGGGGAUGACGUCAAAUCAUCAUGCCCCUUAUGACCUGGGCUACACACGUGCUACAAUGGAUGGUACAAAGGGCAGCAAAACCGCGAGGUUGAGCGAAUCCCAUAAAGCCAUUCUCAGUUCGGAUUGCAGGCUGCAACG
Molecule: ribosomal RNA, 534 nt
Filed under: uncultured bacterium
Lineage: Bacteria
Description: bacterial SSU rRNA
Rfam family: Bacterial small subunit ribosomal RNA
Source: RNAcentral